GAAAUAAUCGAUUGUUAAAUUUUGGUAAUCGAUUAUGGAGCAUUUAAGACCUGACAGGAAUCGAUUGAGGAGCCAAACGGUAACAAAAAAUUAAUAUGAGGUAAUCAAUUGUCAAUUCUUGGUAAUCGAUUAUUUAGGGAACUAAUUUGAUACAGUGAACUUGGAGAAUAUCAGAAUUUGUCAAAUGAUCGAUUGUAUGAAAAAAUAAUCGAUUGUUGUAGAAAGCAUUGCUGAAUGACUGAAGCGGAAAUCGAUUAUGCAAUUUAGGAAAUAAAGAAUUAAACACAGAUGCAUAAUAGUAAUAAUCAGUCAUAAACAAUCGAUUACUGAUACUGAUAAUCGAUGUUCUGCACAGAAAAUAAUCGAUUAGUGGCUUGAAAUAGUCGAUUAUUUUGUGCUAAAACUUCAUA
Molecule: long non-coding RNA, 410 nt
Filed under: Nicotiana benthamiana
Lineage: Eukaryota; Viridiplantae; Streptophyta; Magnoliopsida; Solanales; Solanaceae
Description: long non-coding RNA (NBEN_LNC034879)
Source: RNAcentral